This 494-nucleotide ribosomal RNA is filed under the name uncultured bacterium. RNAcentral describes it as "partial 16S ribosomal RNA". It matches the Rfam family "Bacterial small subunit ribosomal RNA", at positions 28 to 507 of the family's 1533-position model. The record is from RNAcentral.
GACGAACGCUGGCGGCGUGCUUAACACAUGCAAGUCGAACGGUGAAGUGCCCUCCUUUUUGGUGGGUGUGGAUGAGUGGCGAACGGGUGAGUAACACGUGAGUAACCUGCCCCCUUCUUCUGGAUAACCGCAUGAAAGUGUGGCUAAUACGGGAUAUUCUGGGUCUGUCGCAUGAUGGGUCUGGGAAAGAUAUUGUUUCGGUGGGGGAUGGGCUCGCGGCCUAUCAGCUUGUUGGUGGGGUGAUGGCCUACCAAGGCGGUGACGGGUAGCCGGCCUGAGAGGGUGGACGGUCACACUGGGACUGAGACACGGCCCAGACUCCUACGGGAGGCAGCAGUGGGGAAUAUUGCACAAUGGGCGCAAGCCUGAUGCAGCGACGCCGCGUGAGGGAUGGAGGCCUUCGGGUUGUGAACCUCUUUCGCCAGUGAAGCAGGCCUGCCUCGUUUGUGGGUGGGUUGACGGUAGCUGGAUAAGAAGCGCCGGCUAACUACGUG